This 468-nucleotide ribosomal RNA is filed under the name uncultured bacterium. RNAcentral describes it as "partial 16S ribosomal RNA". It matches the Rfam family "Bacterial small subunit ribosomal RNA", at positions 28 to 507 of the family's 1533-position model. The record is from RNAcentral.
GACGAACGCUGGCGGCGUGCUUAACACAUGCAAGUCGAACGGAAAGGCCCUGCUUUUGUGGGGUGCUCGAGUGGCGAACGGGUGAGUAACACGUGAGUAACCUGCCCUUGACUUUGGGAUAACUUCAGGAAACUGGGGCUAAUACCGGAUAGGAGCUCCUGCUGCAUGGUGGGGGUUGGAAAGUUUCGGCGGUUGGGGGUGGACUCGCGGCUUAUCAGCUUGUUGGUGGGGUAGUGGCUUACCAAGGCUUUGACGGGUAGCCGGCCUGAGAGGGUGACCGGCCACAUUGGGACUGAGAUACGGCCCAGACUACUACGGGAGGCAGCAGUGGGGAAUAUUGCACAAUGGGCGGAAGCCUGAUGCAGCAACGCCGCGUGCGGGAUGACGGCCUUCGGGUUGUAAACCGCUUUCGCCUGUGACGAAGCGUGAGUGACGGUAAUGGGUAAAGAAGCACCGGCUAACUACGUG